This 292-nucleotide ribosomal RNA is filed under the name uncultured bacterium. RNAcentral's name for it is "partial 16S ribosomal RNA". It matches the Rfam family "Bacterial small subunit ribosomal RNA", at positions 505 to 796 of the family's 1533-position model. The record is from RNAcentral.
GUGCCAGCAGCCGCGGUAAUACGUAGGGGGCAAGCGUUGUCCGGAAUCAUUGGGCGUAAAGCGCGUGUAGGCGGCUUCGUAAGUCCGUUGUGAAAGUCCAGGGCUCAACCCUGGAAUGCCGAUGGAUACUGCGGAGCUAGAGUCCGGAAGAGGCGAGUGGAAUUCCUGGUGUAGCGGUGAAAUGCGCAGAUAUCAGGAGGAACACCAAUGGCGAAGGCAGCUCGCUGGGACGGUACUGACGCUGAGACGCGAAAGCGUGGGGAGCAAACAGGAUUAGAAACCCGCGUAGUCC